AUUGAACGCUGGCGGCAUGCCUUACACAUGCAAGUCGAACGGUAACAGGUCUUCGGAUGCUGACGAGUGGCGAACGGGUGAGUAAUACAUCGGAACGUGCCCGAUCGUGGGGGAUAACGGAGCGAAAGCUUUGCUAAUACCGCAUACGAUCUACGGAUGAAAGCAGGGGACCGCAAGGCCUUGCGCGGACGGAGCGGCCGAUGGCAGAUUAGGUAGUUGGUGGGAUAAAAGCUUACCAAGCCGACGAUCUGUAGCUGGUCUGAGAGGACGACCAGCCACACUGGGACUGAGACACGGCCCAGACUCCUACGGGAGGAAGCAGUGGGGAAUUUUGGACAAUGGGCGAAAGCCUGAUCCAGCCAUGCCGCGUGCAGGAUGAAGGCCUUCGGGUUGUAAACUGCUUUUGUACGGAACGAAAAGACUCUUUCUAAUAAAGAGGGUCCAUGACGGUACCGUAAGAAUAAGCACCGGCUAACUACGUG
RNAcentral lists this ribosomal RNA (482 nucleotides) under uncultured bacterium. Its description in RNAcentral is "partial 16S ribosomal RNA". It matches the Rfam family "Bacterial small subunit ribosomal RNA", at positions 30 to 507 of the family's 1533-position model. The record is from RNAcentral.